UAAAAAAUCUUAAAAAAGCCUUUAAUGAAACUGCCGAAAGGUCGACUUUGCCAGAGGGAUUUGCAUUUGAUAUUUUAGACGUUUUAUUACAUCUUACGAAUUAAUUAUUUUUUCAGGCAUUCUAUGGCUGAGUUGUCUAAGUAUUCGAACUACUUUAUCACCAGUUAAUGAGUUCGAAUCCGCCAUUCAUGCAAUGAUCAACUCCAAUAUUAAACAAUAAAAUCAAAAAAAUAUCUCUAAGCAAAAUUCAAAACGGAUAGUUCCAUUUUUUAGAAUAGGUCCAGUUUUAUUGAAAAUAUAUCAUUCGAGUUGAGCACUACAGCCACAUUUGCCGAAACACGGACCAC
This 347-nucleotide long non-coding RNA is filed under the name Mytilus galloprovincialis (Mediterranean mussel). The record is from RNAcentral. Lineage: Eukaryota; Metazoa; Mollusca; Bivalvia; Mytilida; Mytilidae.